UAGGGAAUCUUCCGCAAUGGACGAAAGUCUGACGGAGCAACGCCGCGUGAGUGAAGAAGGUUUUCGGAUCGUAAAACUCUGUUGUAAGAGAAGAACAAAUUGUAGAGUAACUGCUACAGUCUUGACGGUAUCUUACCAGAAAGCCACGGCUAACUACGUGCCAGCAGCCGCGGUAAUACGUAGGUGGCAAGCGUUGUCCGGAUUUAUUGGGCGUAAAGGGGGCGCAGGCUGCUUCUUAAGUCUGAUGUGAAAGCCCACGGCUUAACCGUGGAAGUGCAUUGGAAACUGGGAAGCUUGAGUACAGAAGAGGAAAGUGUAACUCCAUGUGUAGCGGUGGAAUGCGUAGAUAUAUGGAAGAACACCAGUGGCGAAAGCGACUUUCUGGUCUGUCACUGACGCUGAGGCCCGAAAGCGUGGGUAGCAAACAGG
Molecule: ribosomal RNA, 429 nt
Filed under: Verrucomicrobiota bacterium
Lineage: Bacteria; Pseudomonadati; Verrucomicrobiota
Description: Verrucomicrobia bacterium partial 16S ribosomal RNA
Rfam family: Bacterial small subunit ribosomal RNA
Source: RNAcentral